UUUUUAAGUUUACAAUGUUAUGUCCAAAUCUAUUAACCAUUCAAUCUAUUAAAAAUAAAAAGUUAGUUAACUAAAAAUUAUAUUAUAAAAUACAAGAAACUUGAGAAAUGAAAAUUUUAAUUUUUUUCCAAAAUCUAAAUAUCCGAACCCGAUCCGAAAUAACCGAAUCCGAACUAAAAAUACAUGAAUCCGGCCCGAAGUACAGAAAUACCUGAACGGGUUCUAUACCUCCAUACCGAAAUAUUCGAAAAUCUAAAGUACCCGAUCUGAAUACGAACGGGUACCCGUACGUCCACCGCACUAAUACUUUCAAAACACAAGUCCAAACAUCUCUUGGGUCGCUAUUGAAGCCCAACUCAAAGGCCCAACAUCUAAACAAAACAUUCACACUCUUUCUUUCUUUUAACAUUUUGAUUUUUGAGGAAGAAGCCAAGGAUUCGCCAUGGAAGGAGAAGAACACACUGUUUGUGGAUCGAUCACACUCGAAGAAUGGAACGGUUCCUCUUCUACUAAGCUAUUCAGAACAGCAACCAUCACUGCCUCCUCUUCUCUCUCCAUCCAAAGGUCUGCUAAUCGAAUCAACCAUGUAUGGAGACGAGUUCUCCAAGCUUUUGUACCUGAGGGCUUUCCUGAUAGUGUAACUCCGGAUUAUGUAGGGUUUCAACUAUGGGAUACGUUACAGGGGCUCUCAACGUAUAUAAAGAUGAUGCUUUCAACUCAGGCUCUUUUAAGUGCAAUUGGGGUUGGUGAGAAAUCCGCAACGGUUAUAGGUGCUACCUUUCAGUGGUUUCUGAGGGAUUUCACUGGGAUGCUUGGAGGCAUUUUGUUCACUUUUUAUCAGGGUUCCAACCUGGAUAGUAACGCAAAAAUGUGGCGUUUAGUUGCGGACCUUAUGAACGAUAUAGGAAUGCUAAUGGACCUUCUUUCUCCUCUAUUUCCAUCUGCCUUUAUCAUUGUGGUUUGCUUAGGAAGCCUAUCAAGAUCAUUUACUGGUGUUGCAAGUGGAGCAACCAGAGCAGCUCUAACUCAGCACUUUGCUCUCCAAGAAAAUGCGGCGGAUAUAUCUGCUAAGGAAGGAAGCCAAGAGACUAUGGCAACGAUGAUGGGAAUGUCAUUGGGAAUGUUGCUUGCUCGGUUUACCUCUGGCAACCCUUUAGCCAUUUGGUUCUCGUUUCUCUCCCUCACUGUGUUUCACAUGUAUGCAAACUAUAGAGCUGUCCGGUGCCUUGUAUUGAAUUCGUUGAACUUCGAGAGGAAUUCGAUUCUUCUAGCACAUUUCAUGCAAACUGGCCAAGGUUUCUUCAAUGGAGGGUGUAUUGCCCAUGUGGGCUACUUCAACUAAUUCAAACGCAUUGCACAAGAGAGUGCACUUAGGUGUGAAAGUUUCUUCUCUCCCUCGUCCAGAUAUAAUGCAACUCCUAAAUGGUGUUGGAGCUUCUUCUCACAAGAAUGCUAAGUACUUACUGGCACAUAGAAAGGGAAAUGUAAGUGUGAUCCUGCACAAAGACUCAACAGCUGGAGAUGUGUUGAAGUCAUACAUUCACGCCAUUGUUAUGGCAAAUCUUAUGGAAAAGAGCACAUCUUUUUAUUCAGAAGGAGAAGCUUGGAUGGAUAAACACUAUGAUGAAUUCCUCAACAAG
Brassica rapa (field mustard) is the source of this 1640-nucleotide RNA transcript. It is a transcript of the gene named protein root UVB sensitive 3, with no coding region annotated. The record is from RefSeq and is a predicted model, not a curated record. Lineage: Eukaryota; Viridiplantae; Streptophyta; Magnoliopsida; Brassicales; Brassicaceae.